UNGUGAGGUGCACGUAAAUCGAGCAGGUC
RNAcentral lists this non-coding RNA (29 nucleotides) under Mus musculus (house mouse). The record is from RNAcentral. Lineage: Eukaryota; Metazoa; Chordata; Mammalia; Rodentia; Muridae.